Non-coding RNA from Potamilus streckersoni, 77 nucleotides. Lineage: Eukaryota; Metazoa; Mollusca; Bivalvia; Unionida; Unionidae. The record is from the annotation of a GenBank genome assembly.
UGUUUCUGUCGUGGCCUAGUGGUCAGAGCGUCCGCCUCUGAUGUGGGAGGUCUUAGGUUUGAAUCCCGCCGAGUCAU